UCAGGACGAACGCUGGCGGCGUGCCUAAUACAUGCAAGUCGAGCGGACUUAAAAAGCUUGCUUUUUAAGUUAGCGGCGGACGGGUGAGUAACACGUGGGCAACCUGCCUGUAAGACUGGGAUAACUUCGGGAAACCGGAGCUAAUACCGGAUAAUCCUUUUCUACUCAUGUAGAAAAGCUGAAAGACGGUUUACGCUGUCACUUACAGAUGGGCCCGCGGCGCAUUAGCUAGUUGGUGAGGUAACGGCUCACCAAGGCGACGAUGCGUAGCCGACCUGAGAGGGUGAUCGGCCACACUGGGACUGAGACACGGCCCAGACUCCUACGGGAGGCAGCAGUAGGGAAUCUUCCGCAAUGGACGAAAGUCUGACGGAGCAACGCCGCGUGAGUGAUGAAGGUUUUCGGAUCGUAAAACUCUGUUGUUAGGGAAGAACAAGUACGAGAGUAACUGCUCGUACCUUGACGGUACCUAACCAGAAAGCCACGGCUAACUACGUGCCAGCAGCCGCGGUAAUACGUAGGUGGCAAGCGUUGUCCGGAAUUAUUGGGCGUAAAGCGCGCGCAGGCGGUCCUUUAAGUCUGAUGUGAAAGCCCACGGCUCAACCGUGGAGGGUCAUUGGAAACUGGGGGACUUGAGUGCAGAAGAGAAGAGUGGAAUUCCACGUGUAGCGGUGAAAUGCGUAGAGAUGUGGAGGAACACCAGUGGCGAAGGCGACUCUUUGGUCUGUAACUGAC
This 735-nucleotide ribosomal RNA is filed under the name Bacillus sp. L2276. Its description in RNAcentral is "bacterial SSU rRNA". It matches the Rfam family "Bacterial small subunit ribosomal RNA", at positions 24 to 744 of the family's 1533-position model. The record is from RNAcentral. Lineage: Bacteria; Bacillati; Bacillota; Bacilli; Caryophanales; Bacillaceae.